Molecule: ribosomal RNA, 495 nt
Filed under: uncultured bacterium
Lineage: Bacteria
Description: partial 16S ribosomal RNA
Rfam family: Bacterial small subunit ribosomal RNA
Source: RNAcentral
GAUGAACGCUGGCGGCGUGCCUAAUACAUGCAAGUCGAACGCUAAAGGAGUAGCUUGCUCUUCUGGAUGAGUGGCGAACGGGUGAGUAACGCGUAGGUAACCUGCCUUGUAGCUUGGGAUAACUAUUGGAAACGAUAGCUAAUACCGCAUGACAACCGUUCUUGCAUGGUAAGUGUUUGAAAGUGGCAACUGCUCCGCUACCAGAUGGCCCUGCGUUGUGUUAGGUAGGUGGUGUGGUAACGCCUCACCAUGGCGACUAUCCAGAGCCGCCCUGAGAGGGGGAUUGGCCACACUGGGACUGAGACCCGGCCCAGACUCCUACGGGAGGGAGCAAGAGGGAAACUUCGGAAAGGGACGGAAGGCUGACCGAGCAACGCCGCGGGAGGGAAGAAGGGUGUCGGGUCGUAAAGGUCUGUUGUAAGAGAAGAAAGAGCGUGAGAGUGGAAAGUUCACACUGUGACGGUAUCUGAUCAGAAAGCGACGGCUAACUACGUG